AGCUCCGAGUUCACGAGUUGUGACGAGUUUGCUGACGUUGUCAGAAAUGGCAGAGGCCAUGGAAGUUAAUAUUUCAGUACAUAAUAUGUGAAUAGAUUGUAAUUUUAGUGCUAUGUUGUUUUUCUUUGUAAUUUCAUAAUAGGUUUGAGGAAAAUGUUGAUAUUUCCAACGGCUUUAUCUUCUUCCUCUGUCAUUAUGCCUUUGCAUUUCCUGCAUAAUGUUACCUGCUUGCUACUAUAAAUUGUAAGCCUCUGUGGCUUCUAGACGCCGACAGUAACGUUAAUAUUGCUGUUGCUUAGCAGCGGCGUUCUCACGACUUAACCACUUCAACGCCAAGCAUACCGUGUACACGACUUCCCACGUUGUAAACACAAGCUCAACAGUUUCAUUUGGAGGCACUAUAAAAAGCAGUGCUGCUACAAUGAUCUCAGGCUUUCUCUCUAGUGAGACGACAGCUGCAAUCAUUGAUGUGAAACAGGCGUUUUAUGGGAUAUUUGCUCUCUGAUAAAGCCGUGGCAAAAUGUUUUACAAAAGUAUCACUGACGCUUUGAAAAACAGUAGUGUUCUGCGCAGGGUCAGACCACAGCAGUUUUCUCAAUAAAAAAAAAGAGGAAAGAUCUCUGAGGAAGAAACUUGUUUUGGAUGCUGAGACAAUCUAACAGCUUCCAUAAAAUCAAUAGCAGCUACGAUGAAAUGCCAUCAAUUUAAGGCGUUUUGGAUUCUGGCGCUGAAACUAAAGUUCAGUUUGUGUGAUUGAUUGGAGCAGUGUUGGGGGAAAAAAUUGCUGUUGAAGACGAUGGCCUCUCUCUGCAGAGUUUGCCCACCCACUGAGUUGGAAAGGUGCACCGAUUACCUUGACUGUUAAGAGUCCCAGAAACCGUAAAUGCAGGCGGAGUGCUUUAGCCUCGAUGCUAAGAGCAUGCUGGGCCUUUCUAUGAUUUUAAAAAAAGAUUUUGGUUUGAGAUUUGAUUUAAAAAAUGUGGACAUGCUGGGAAUAUAAGUGAAAGGUGAGGCAGUUUUAUUAACAGUCUCCGACUGAGAGUUUCUGAAUAAAAGGAUAUGGCCUUGUGUAUUCAGCUGAGCAAAGACUAGGCGCAUUAUUUCUCUUCACUCAGUCCACCUCUUUGCUUCAGACUAUUAAUCCAUCUCAACAACAUUAAAAUGGAUUACCAUGAAAUUUUGUACAGGCAUUCAUUGAAUUGGCCAUUCCAUUGCAACAUCAGGGCCCAGCACUGAAGCUGCGCUUCCGACAUUUUGGACUGAAAGCGACUGCCGGACGCCAGUAAAACAUCCGCCAGUAAAACGUCCGCCAGUAAAACGUCCACCUACAAAGUGCCGCACAAAAGUAAAACAAAAUUCUAUUGUCAUACAGUUCAUUUUCAGUCCAAAAUGGCUGCAGCGGCUGUCAAAAAGCACCUGGAGUUUCGUGUCCUUGCUUCUAGACGGCCUCCCAGAGCCACUAGCAUGGCUUAGCGUGGUUUGAAGGUGCAGUAUUUACAUAUGUGACCUGAUGGGAUAAGUUGAAAUUGAUGGAGGGGGUGGACAGUGGUGGAAGAGAUAUUUUACUUAAGUAAAAGUAGCAAUACCACAGUGUAAAACAUACCUUUUCAGGUUUUCAGGUCCUAAUUGACUGAUUGUCCUAAUUAGAAGAGUCUAAUCUCUGCUAUCGGACCCAUGUGCUGUAGAUAAAGCUAUAAAUCCUUUGUUUUUAAGGCUGAAACUGCCACUAUUGUUUUCCAUCAGUGAAGUAGAGCAGGGCAGAAAGGGAGAGAGGAAGUGUGAGAAUUUUUGUAUCAGAAAAAAAGUUGUGAAUAUGUUAGAAUCAGAUGAAGUAAAGGUGAUGGAAAGGGAAGAUAGCUAUUUAAGAAAGGGCAUCAAGAGAGAUGGCAUGCUGCUGCGCCCCGCCUCAAAUGAAGCACUGACUACAACACUGAGAUGUUCCCGCUUCCACAAAAGAACAGAACUGCUCUUACAUUAGAGCUGCAGAGGGCUGAAAUCUACAAACACUUUGGAGUAUAACCCCGGGGGAACAACAGAUAAAGGCCCAGCUGGAGCACACUUAUUUCCAUAUUGCUGCCCAGCCUUGAGUACGGAUAAUUCACAACUGCACCAGUGAAUGAACGAACCGCUCACAUUUGUGCGAUAUUGAAUAAAAGGUGACACAGCUCAAGCAGGCGAAUGCCUUUUUCAGUCUAAA
Molecule: long non-coding RNA, 2197 nt
Organism: Sebastes umbrosus (honeycomb rockfish)
Lineage: Eukaryota; Metazoa; Chordata; Actinopteri; Perciformes; Sebastidae
Exons: 3
Source: RefSeq, a predicted model, not a curated record